RNAcentral lists this ribosomal RNA (406 nucleotides) under uncultured bacterium. RNAcentral's name for it is "bacterial SSU rRNA". It matches the Rfam family "Bacterial small subunit ribosomal RNA", at positions 355 to 775 of the family's 1533-position model. The record is from RNAcentral.
UUAGGAAUUUUGCGCAAUGGGCGAAAGCCUGACGCAGCAACGCCGCGUGAGGGAAGAAGGCUUUCGGGUUGUAAACCUCUUUUAGCAAGGACGAACACAAUGACGGUACUUGCAGAAAAAGCACCGGCUAACUACGUGCCAGCAGCCGCGGUAAUACGUAGGGUGCAAGCGUUAUUCGGAUUUAUUGGGCGUAAAGCGCAUGCAGGCGGUUUGGUAAGUCUGAUGUGAAAGCCCUCGACUCAAUCGAGGAAGUGCAUUGGAUACUGUCAGACUAGAGUGCAGGAGGGGUGAGCGGAAUUCGGGGUGUAGAGGUGAAAUUCGUAGAUAUCCGGAGGAACAACAGCGGCGAAGGCGGCUCACUGGACUGUAACUGACGCUCAGAUGCGAUAGUGUGGGGAGCGAACAG